AUGCAGUCGAACGCUUCUUUUUCCACCGGAGCUUGCUCCACCGGAAAAAGAGGAGUGGCGAACGGGUGAGUAACACGUGGGUAACCUGCCCAUCAGAAGGGGAUAACACUUGGAAACAGGUGCUAAUACCGUAUAACAAUCGAAACCGCAUGGUUUUGAUUUGAAAGGCGCUUUCGGGUGUCGCUGAUGGAUGGACCCGCGGUGCAUUAGCUAGUUGGUGAGGUAACGGCUCACCAAGGCCACGAUGCAUAGCCGACCUGAGAGGGUGAUCGGCCACAUUGGGACUGAGACACGGCCCAAACUCCUACGGGAGGCAGCAGUAGGGAAUCUUCGGCAAUGGACGAAAGUCUGACCGAGCAACGCCGCGUGAGUGAAGAAGGUUUUCGGAUCGUAAAACUCUGUUGUUAGAGAAGAACAAGGAUGAGAGUAACUGUUCAUCCCUUGACGGUAUCUAACCAGAAAGCCACGGCUAACUACGUGCCAGCAGCCGCGGUAAUACGUAGGUGGCAAGCGUUGUCCGGAUUUAUUGGGCGUAAAGCGAGCGCAGGCGGUUUCUUAAGUCUGAUGUGAAAGCCCCCGGCUCAACCGGGGAGGGUCAUUGGAAACUGGGAGACUUGAGUGCAGAAGAGGAGAGUGGAAUUCCAUGUGUAGCGGUGAAAUGCGUAGAUAUAUGGAGGAACACCAGUGGCGAAGGCGGCUCUCUGGUCUGUAACUGACGCUGAGGCUCGAAAGCGUGGGGAGCAAACAGGAUUAGAUACCCUGGUAGUCCACGCCGUAAACGAUGAGUGCUAAGUGUUGGAGGGUUUCCGCCCUUCAGUGCUGCAGCUAACGCAUUAAGCACUCCGCCUGGAGAGUACGACCGCAAGGUUGAAACUCACAG
RNAcentral lists this ribosomal RNA (880 nucleotides) under Enterococcus faecium. RNAcentral describes it as "bacterial SSU rRNA". It matches the Rfam family "Bacterial small subunit ribosomal RNA", at positions 55 to 906 of the family's 1533-position model. The record is from RNAcentral. Lineage: Bacteria; Bacillati; Bacillota; Bacilli; Lactobacillales; Enterococcaceae.